Molecule: long non-coding RNA, 1814 nt
Filed under: Varroa destructor (honeybee mite)
Lineage: Eukaryota; Metazoa; Arthropoda; Arachnida; Mesostigmata; Varroidae
Description: uncharacterized LOC111247260
Source: RNAcentral
AUAGCUCUCAAAUAUUAGCUUAUCUUUUCAUAUAGAACCUUUUAGAAAGUUGAAGUUGAGAGUCAAUAAUUUUUUAAAGCAGUAGAACUAAUUAAAGGUAAUUUAAACGUCCCAACGUAACGGGACGCCACAUGCGGCCACUGUUACACUCCGUUUCCUUUAAUAUGUCGAUAAAUGGUUCCCGUGAAAUAGGCUUCCCAUAACAAAAAACGGCUUUUCGUAUUCAUUUUUGUGAAGUAGGUAAUACUAAUCUACCUGACGCCUGAUUUCGUAUUUUGUGCGUUUGUUUUCUUAACAUCAAGUGACAUCAGCUCAUUGCUGAGCUAGGCAAAUCACCUAAUGAUAAAUAAUAUAGAUAAAUUGCACGCACUUCAUGCCAACGCCGUUUCAAGGACCUAAGCCGAUAACUUGUAAUGUCGAUGGGCGUCUUGAUAAAUCUCUCCGGACGUGCCAAGCUUAAAGACGAAUUUCUCUUUACUUCGAAUAGCAUCGAUUGGGGCGCAGGGCAUAUCAGCGGGCGGCUGCCUAAGAUCUAAGCAACAUCAAAUGGAGGAUAGUCCGGUCAAAACAAGUCAUGCCAUCGUGAGAAUCAUCCACGUGUUAUUAAUGAGCUCUGCAUCGGAUUGAAAGUCCUACCUGACUAUUACCCAUGGCGUUGCUGUCAAUAUUACUAUCUGCAUCCUCGGACAUCCCACCAGCCGUUGACAUACCGUCACUAUUAAUGGCAUGGCAUACUUUCCGCCUAUCUUGCAAAUUGAUAUAUAAAACUUGUAUUGGUGCUGGAAGAUGAAAAAACAUUUCAAGGGGAUGCAUAUUAUAAACAUAAAUGAAUAGACCGUAACCCAUGUUGAGUUGAAUUAAAUUAUUACAUCCAUAGACGAUAAUUCUAGCACUCAGAGUUCAGCUCUUCUACACGUAUGAAGAAUUCGUUGCAUUUACUAAAGAAAACCACUCGAUGUAGCAUUGCAUAUCUAAUCGUUAGUAUGAUAAUGGAAUUAUUAAUUCAAACUGCCUGGGUAUGAUUGUGGACGAAAUAUAAGGUACCGAGCGGUGUCACAUAUUUGUGUUAUUGUUGCCGUGCUAACAACAGAAAACUUAUCUACUUGACUCGCCUACAACUUCAGCGGACUCUUUAUUCAUCUAUACGUCUGAUUUUACCAUUUCGUUAAAUCAAGCAUCGAUUGUUCAGGCGGCACAACUUAUAACAAAAUGCAAGUGAAGCCGCGUGAAAUUACCAAUAAUCCGAAUCUGUAAAAAUAAUUCUUCAUAAUAUUCAUGAAUAUCCAGUUUUAUGUAGUUAAAAAAUUUAUUAGACAAUCCAAUUUGUUGUACUAUGACUGCAUUUACCCAAGAGCAAGGCAACUGCUAUGGCACACGCGAUGAAGGCAGUUUCCUAAUACCAUGGUGAAAUUCAAUGUGGAAUAUGUGAGCCUACGUAGGAAAUGUCUGCUUACUGUUUCAGUUUUAACCCAACAUCGAUUGUCAUAUGCAUUUCAAGGAGACAGCAGAAGUUAUUUCGAACAAAAAAUACCGAAAAAUUGUUUGCCGUACUUUCGCUAGAGUGUUAAUUGAAAGAUUAGCUAGUGAAAGCGCAGAAGUUUAGUCUAGUUUUACCUCAAGGCAAGAAAAGAUGCUGCUAAAUGUGUAGUAAACGACGUUUUUCCUAUAUAUAUAUAUUGUCAAUAAUCUUCUAAACAGAAUUUGUAAAUUUUCUAGGGUUGCUAUAUAUAUAUAUAUAAAGCAUUUUUUAUGAAUAGGGUUGAUAUGAUACAUUAGUGUUGGUCUUCCCUAUACGAUAAGCCAUGUGCCGAAUG